GAUCCGAAUCCCCCUAGAAACUCGACCCUACCCGUUGUUGUCCCUAAUCACAGUCCCUCGCAAACACAAACUUUUUAAACCCUCGAAAAAUCCCAAGUCCUUAUUCAAUCAUCUGCAAAUAUCACAGAGCCAAAAACCCAAAACCUCCCCCAAUUCAUUAUUGAAACUUUCCCUACAAUACAUAUAAAUAUACACUUAUAGGUCCUCAAUUUCAGAGCAAUUAAAAAAAUGCAUAUGGAAACAAUGAAUAUCGUGAUGUGCGAAUUCACCGACCGGGAAGGGACGGCAUUGGAAGCUCCCUUGUAUCUUCCACAGGAUGCCGGUCCUCAACAGCUUCAACAAAUCGUCAAUGAGCUUCUCCACAAUAAGGAGAAGUUGCCAUAUUCUUUCUACAUAUCAGACCAGGAGCUUCUUGUUCCACUUGAAAAUUACUUACAGAAAAAUAAAGUUUCCGUGGAGAAGGUACUUUCCAUUGUUUGUCAACCACAAGCUGUUUUCCGAAUCCGUCCAGUUAAUCGUUGUUCAGCAACUAUUGCUGGUCAUGCAGAACCUGUACUUUCGGUUGCUUUUAGUCCUGAUGGACGGCAUUUGGCAAGUGGCUCUGGAGAUACCUAUGUUCGUCUGUGGGAUCUUAAUACCCAAACGCCAAUGUUUAAAUGUACAGGACACAAGAAUUGGGUUCUUUGUAUUGCAUGGUCACCAGAUGGUAAACAUCUUGUGAGUGGGAGCAAGACUGGAGAGCUUCAAUGUUGGGAUCCUCAGACAGGAAAGCCAUCAGGCAAUCCACUUGUGGGCCACAAACAAUGGAUUACUGCUAUCUCUUGGGAACCAGUCCACUUGAAUACCCCAUGUCGUCGGUUUGUCAGUGCUAGCGGAGAUCGUGAUGCACGCAUAUGGGAUGUUUCAUUAAGGAAAUGUGUUAUCUGUCUCACUGGUCAUACAGAUGCAAUAACUUGUGUGAAAUGGGGUGGAGAUGGAGUAAUUUAUACUGGCUCCAAAGAUUGUACCAUCAAAGUCUGGGAGACUUCACAGGGGAAGUUAAUUCGGGAAUUGAAGGGUCAUGGGAAUAGGGUAAACUCCCUGGCUUUGAGCACUGAAUAUGUUCUUCGUACUGGAGCUUUUGACCAUACUGGCAAAACAUAUUCUUCGCCAGAUGAAGUGAAAAAGGUUGCUCUGGAAAGAUACAACAAAAUGAAAGGCAAUGGCCCUGAGAGAUUAGUUUCAGGUUCUGAUGAAUUUACUAUGUUUCUCUGGGAACCUGCUGUUAGCGAAGACUACAGAACUCGCAUGACAGGUCAUCAACAGCCUGUAAAUCAUGUUCUCUUCUCACCUGAUGGGCAAUGGGUGGCUAGUGCCUCAUUUGAUAGGUCAGUCAGGUUAUGGAAUGGUGUUACUGGAAAAUUCAUUGCUGCUUUUCGAGGACAUAUUGGGCGUGUUUAUCAAAUCAGCUGGUCAGCUGACAGUAGGCUUCUUUUAAGUGGAAGCGAAGACUCCAUGCUGAAGGUCUGGGAUAUAAGGACACAGAAGUUAAAACAAGACCUUCCAGGCCAUGAGGAUGAGGUAUAUGCUGUUGAUUGGAGUCCGGAUGGCGAGAAGGUAGCUUCUGGAGGUAAGGAUAGGGUAUUGAAGUUAUGGAUGGGCUAGACCUAGCAGAGGAGCAUAUGGUAGAAAUGUCAAACCACAUAGUAGUUGGCAGCUUCCACGGACAGCUAAUGAUGUGGUGAUAUCUUGACACUAAGCAGUGGGCAGAACAGCAUGAUAAAAGAAAACUGAAAGAAAUGUCUAUAAAAUGUGGUAGAUACAAUCUAAAUCAGAUGCCGAUGAAGCCAUUCUAUUUCAAGCUUUCAAAAGUCUCUUAGAGUCGCAUCCAGAGGAAUGAAGCUGGUACCCAGAGUUUUGCCUUAUCCUGUGAUACUAUGUACUUUGGCAAGCCCAUGUCGUUAUUGUAGUCACAUCUGCAACAACUGAACAACACAUGCACUCUUAGUUAUCUAAUCCUCAGAGAAGUUACCACUUGGAAAAAGCCAACUGAAAGGAAUAAUCCAAUGAUUAUUAUAGCUGCAAA
This is an RNA transcript of Hevea brasiliensis (rubber tree), 2065 nucleotides long. It is a transcript of the gene named notchless protein homolog, with no coding region annotated. The transcript is spliced from 14 exons. NCBI's taxonomy places the organism in Eukaryota, Viridiplantae, Streptophyta, Magnoliopsida, Malpighiales, Euphorbiaceae. The record is from RefSeq and is a predicted model, not a curated record.